AGGGGAAUUUUGGACAAUGGGGGCAACCCUGAUCCAGCCAUGCCGCGUGAGUGAAGAAGGCCUUCGGGUUGUAAAGCUCUUUCAGUCGGGAAGAAAAGGCUCUCUUUAACAGGGGGAGUUGCUGACGGUACCGACAGAAGAAGCACCGGCUAACUACGUGCCAGCAGCCGCGGUAAUACGUAGGGUGCGAGCGUGUAAUCCGAAUUACUGGGCGUAAAGCGUGCGCAGGCGGUUUGCUAAGACAGGUGUGAAAUCCCCGGGCUUAACCUGGGAACUGCGCUUGUGACUGGCAGGCUGGAGUACGGCAGAGGGGGGUGGAAUUCCACGUGUAGCAGUGAAAUGCGUAGAGAUGUGGAGGAACACCGAUGGCGAAGGCAGCCCCCUGGGCCUGUACUGACGCUCAUGCACGAAAGCGUGGGGAGCAAACA
RNAcentral lists this ribosomal RNA (428 nucleotides) under uncultured Rhodocyclaceae bacterium. Its description in RNAcentral is "bacterial SSU rRNA". It matches the Rfam family "Bacterial small subunit ribosomal RNA", at positions 355 to 774 of the family's 1533-position model. The record is from RNAcentral. Lineage: Bacteria; Pseudomonadati; Pseudomonadota; Betaproteobacteria; Rhodocyclales; Rhodocyclaceae.